AAAGUGACUUAGCCGGGCAGUGGUGGCACACACCUUUAAUCCCAGCACUUGGGAGGCAGAGGCAGGCGGACCUCUG
Molecule: microRNA precursor, 76 nt
Filed under: Microtus ochrogaster (prairie vole)
Lineage: Eukaryota; Metazoa; Chordata; Mammalia; Rodentia; Cricetidae
Description: miRNA (ENSMOCG00000005677.1)
Source: RNAcentral